RNAcentral lists this ribosomal RNA (522 nucleotides) under Niastella populi. RNAcentral's name for it is "bacterial SSU rRNA". It matches the Rfam family "Bacterial small subunit ribosomal RNA", at positions 382 to 905 of the family's 1533-position model. The record is from RNAcentral. Lineage: Bacteria; Pseudomonadati; Bacteroidota; Chitinophagia; Chitinophagales; Chitinophagaceae.
UCUGACCAGCCAUGCCGCGUGGAGGAUGAAGGUCCUCUGGAUUGUAAACUUCUUUUAUCGGAGAAGAAACCCAGACAUUCCUGUUUGGUUGACGGUACCCGAUGAAUAAGCACCGGCUAACUCCGUGCCAGCAGCCGCGGUAAUACGGAGGGUGCAAGCGUUAUCCGGAUUCACUGGGUUUAAAGGGUGCGUAGGUGGGUUGGUAAGUCAGUGGUGAAAUCUCCGGGCUUAACUCGGAAACUGCCGUUGAUACUAUCAAUCUUGAAUAUUGUGGAGGUAAGCGGAAUAUGUCAUGUAGCGGUGAAAUGCUUAGAUAUGACAUAGAACACCGAUAGCGAAGGCAGCUUGCUACACAAUAAUUGACACUGAGGCACGAAAGCGUGGGGAUCAAACAGGAUUAGAUACCCUGGUAGUCCACGCCCUAAACGAUGGAUACUCGACAUACGCGAUACACAGUGUGUGUCUGAGCGAAAGCAUUAAGUAUCCCACCUGGGAAGUACGACCGCAAGGUUGAAACUCAAG